CUAACAUUUAUUGAGCAGCUAUAGGUGUAUAUGAACUAACGUUUGAGCACCUACAGGUAUGUAUGUCUGGCCUUGUGCAAGGAGCUUUCAUCCGCGUGUUCCACUUGAUCGUUUCAUCAACCCUGUGAGGUAGGUAUCAUCCCCGUGUUUGUCAGGUGAGGACUGUCAAGCUCAGAAAGAUUAGGUCAUUUGUCCAAAGAUAGAGAGCUGGGUACAAAGCUGAGCCUGAGUUACGAAGUUUUAGACCCCACCCCUGCGCUCUCCCGUGCCUCCCAGGAGGAAAGCAGGGGCUCAGACUGAAGCCACAGCCCUUACACUCGCUUCCACCCCCUGCGUCCCCCCCCACCCCCCAGGUGGGUGCAGUCAGCUGAGGAAAUUAGGACAUAAAUAAAAAUAAAUAGGGCCAAGUCCCCAGCAUCAAGGGUCUGCCCUCUGUUACUGACCCUGUGUGAGGUCAUUAUUCCUCCAGAGCUGCCGGGUGAGGGAGCUGUGUGGGACCUACCAGGGGAAAAACUGACGAUGCCUACUAAAGGCUGGAGUGGGUGGGCUCAACAGGCCCCUCUAGGUCACGUGGAUUCAACAACAGAGUAUCCGGAACAGGCUGCACUGCGGGUACAGUCACUAUCCUCCUCCUUCUAUUCAUUUUACCAGGGUUGUUAUCCAAGAGGGUUUCAACAUCAGGAGAACAUACAGCUCUGUGAGGCACAUGUCCCAGGACUGUCAUCUCCCCUAUCCUACUGUCCCAAAGGCCUACAGACGCCAGCUCCUACUGCAAACUGGGUGGUUCCCAUCAUCCAUCCAGAGCCACCUUGCCCAGGAGGAGCUGCACCUUCCCCGCCUUGCUGAUCUGGCCUGUCAGCUCAGCCAAGGUACAAGCUCCCUACCAGUUCUGAUUUCCCCGGGCAUGCCUGCUCUUCCCCCUGAUUUAUUUUUGCUCUCUUCCUCCGUCUCCAAAGACUUGAUGUCUUGAGUGGGAAGCUGGCCCAGGAGGGCAUCCAGCAGUUGGAGCAACAGCGGCUUCUCAUCUUUGGCUGAGCCUCCACCCCUCGCAUGGUGAUUUCACCCCUGACAACCCAGCCCGGGUCUCCACCUAAGCCCAGUAGAGACUGUGAGUGACUGGAGAGGAAGUGGAAGAUCUUCAUCACUUCAGUCAAUAGGAAGGCUGGGCGUGUGUACGGAUAGGAGCAGCCAUCUCUCCUCUCCAAUUCGCGGUGCUCACUCUGCCGAUAUAAUCAUGCAUGUGGGAUACUGGAUAACUCCACAUAUACGAAGGACCUGAAAUAAUCAAAUACAUGGACACAGAAGGCCAGGAAAGAAGAGGGAAACCCCAUCAGCAACCAACCCGCUGAAACGACCUGGAGCCGCACCCUCUCCCUGACCGGGGCAGGGCGCAAAACAAGGCAAUGGAAGAGCAGCUUCAGGCUGAGUCAUAAGAAAUCCAGAGCAGACUGGAGAGAUGGGGGUGGAGGAGAUAGUGGCUUCAACUGCCGCGAGGAUGGUUCCACGGGCUGCAAGGGAGGGGCGGAUGCCAUAGAAGACAACUGCGGGAUUCCGAGUGCCUCUCUGAGGCGUCUUCUCCUCGCAGAGAUCUUGCUGACUCCUGCUCUUGGCCUCAGACCAUAGAAGAUUUCAAAGGGAAACCCCGCAGGAUAUCAAGGUAUCCCGGUCAUCCGCACAAGCUCCUCAUUGUGACUCAGGGAACAAGGCUCUGUUGUGCCCCCGCGAAUGUGAAUUCAGCAGAGUUUGGUGCAAAGAGGAGAGGAGAAAGCUGUAAACCACGGGUGGUGUGCCCCGGGCGUUGCCCAAAUCUGCAGUCUUCCUUACGGCUUCGCAGGAAAGCCAGGGACACUGCAGUCUGCCCUACGAGCACCAUGGGCUCCUGGCUGGGUGGGAACUU
This is a long non-coding RNA of Chinchilla lanigera (long-tailed chinchilla), 1897 nucleotides long. RefSeq lists it as uncharacterized. The record is from RefSeq and is a predicted model, not a curated record. Lineage: Eukaryota; Metazoa; Chordata; Mammalia; Rodentia; Chinchillidae. The transcript is spliced from 6 exons.